This 63-nucleotide small nucleolar RNA is filed under the name Catharus ustulatus (Swainson's thrush). Its description in RNAcentral is "Small nucleolar RNA Z39 (ENSCUSG00005012157.1)". It matches the Rfam family "Small nucleolar RNA Z39". From Rfam's summary of the family: Z39 is a member of the C/D class of snoRNA which contain the C (UGAUGA) and D (CUGA) box motifs. Lineage: Eukaryota; Metazoa; Chordata; Aves; Passeriformes; Turdidae. The record is from Rfam by way of RNAcentral.
GUACAGAUGAUGAGCAUUGCGGUAUGAGGGCUAACAAUGAUACUGUAAACGCUUUCUGAUGUA